UACGUAGGGUGCAAGCGUUAAUCGGAAUUACUGGGCGUAAAGCGUGCGCAGGCGGCUUUGCAAGACAGAUGUGAAAUCCCCGGGCUUAACCUGGGAACUGCAUUUGUGACUGCAUGGCUGGAGUGCGGCAGAGGGGGAUGGAAUUCCGGGUGGAGUGGUGAAAUGCGUAGAGAUCCGGAGGAACACCAAAGGCGAAGGCAGUGUCCUGGGGAGUACCUGACGCUCAGGUGCGAAAGCCAGGGGAGCGAACGGG
This 253-nucleotide ribosomal RNA is filed under the name uncultured bacterium. RNAcentral's name for it is "partial 16S ribosomal RNA". It matches the Rfam family "Bacterial small subunit ribosomal RNA", at positions 524 to 776 of the family's 1533-position model. The record is from RNAcentral.